RNAcentral lists this ribosomal RNA (473 nucleotides) under Micrococcaceae bacterium 'ARUP UnID 129'. RNAcentral's name for it is "bacterial SSU rRNA". It matches the Rfam family "Bacterial small subunit ribosomal RNA", at positions 27 to 506 of the family's 1533-position model. Lineage: Bacteria; Bacillati; Actinomycetota; Actinomycetes; Micrococcales; Micrococcaceae. The record is from RNAcentral.
GGAUGAACGCUGGCGGCGUGCUUAACACAUGCAAGUCGAACGAUGAUGCCCAGCUUGCUGGGUGGAUUAGUGGCGAACGGGUGAGUAACACGUGAGCAACCUGCCCUUGACUCUGGGAUAAGCCUGGGAAACUGGGUCUAAUACCGGAUAGUACUCCUCAUCGCAUGGUGGGGGGUGGAAAGCCUUGUGCGGUCUUGGAUGGGCUCGCGGCCUAUCAGCUUGUUGGUGGGGUGAUGGCCUACCAAGGCGACGACGGGUAGCCGGCCUGAGAGGGUGACCGGCCACACUGGGACUGAGACACGGCCCAGACUCCUACGGGAGGCAGCAGUGGGGAAUAUUGCACAAUGGGCGGAAGCCUGAUGCAGCGACGCCGCGUGGGGGAUGACGGCCUUCGGGUUGUAAACCCCUUUCGGCAGGGAACAAGCCGCUUCGGUGGUGAGGGUACCUGCGGAAGAAGCGCCGGCUAACUACGU